UCCGGUUUGUCACCGGCAGUCUCCUUAGAGUUCCCGGCAUUACCCGCUGGCAAAUAAGGACAAGGGUUGCGCUCGUUACGGGACUUAACCCAACAUUUCACAACACGAGCUGACGACAGCCAUGCAGCACCUGUCUCUCGGUUCCCGAAGGCACCAGUCCAUCUCUGGAAAGUUCCGAGGAUGUCAAGACCUGGUAAGGUUCUUCGCGUUGCAUCGAAUUAAACCACAUGCUCCACCGCUUGUGCGGGCCCCCGUCAAUUCCUUUGAGUUUUAACCUUGCGGCCGUACUCCCCAGGCGGAGUGCUUAACGCGUUAGCUGCGGCACCGAGACGCAUGCGUCCCAACACCUAGCACUCAUCGUUUACGGCGUGGACUAC
RNAcentral lists this unclassified non-coding RNA (377 nucleotides) under uncultured Gammaproteobacteria bacterium. RNAcentral describes it as "contains 16S-23S intergenic spacer region". Lineage: Bacteria; Pseudomonadati; Pseudomonadota; Gammaproteobacteria. The record is from RNAcentral.